GAUACAAACAAGCAAAACACGAAUGAGAUGCAAGAACUUUAUUAGACAUAUAGAAUCGAGAUCAAAUACAGAGGUCAGCCUUUAUCAUACUCAUGUACAUGCAAAUCAGGAUGUAAAGGUGCAUGCAAUCAACAGUGCAAUUUAUGGACAUACACACAUUGGGAUGGCAAGUUGAUAAUAAUUUAUACAGAUGAUUUAAGGGCGAAUAUUUUUAAAGGAGACCUUCAAGGUACGCCUUCGCGGUGACAGCACUGGGAACGUGCCACAUCACCUGACACAGUUGACCGAACACGGCGCAAUCCACGGCGCAUGCGUCGUCACCAAAUAGGAACUUCUU
Dreissena polymorpha is the source of this 337-nucleotide long non-coding RNA. RefSeq lists it as uncharacterized. The transcript is spliced from 2 exons. NCBI's taxonomy places the organism in Eukaryota, Metazoa, Mollusca, Bivalvia, Myida, Dreissenidae. The record is from RefSeq and is a predicted model, not a curated record.